AUAUCAAUAAGCGGAGGAAAAGAAACCAACAGGGAUUGCCUUAGUAACGGCGAGUGAAGCGGCAAGAGCUCAGAUUUGAAAUCCGGUGCGGUACCCGUGCCCGAGUUGUAAUCUGGAGAGGAUGCCCCGGCGAGGCCGGCCGUCCAAGUUCCUUGGAACAGGACGUCUUAGAGGGUGAGAACCCCGUACCCGGCGGCCUGCCGAGCCGCGUGGGGCUCCUUCGACGAGUCGAGUUGUUUGGGAAUGCAGCUCAAAUUGGGUGGUAAAUUCCAUCUAAAGCUAAAUACUGGCGAGAGACCGAUAGCGCACAAGUA
RNAcentral lists this ribosomal RNA (314 nucleotides) under uncultured fungus. Its description in RNAcentral is "partial large subunit ribosomal RNA". It matches the Rfam family "Eukaryotic large subunit ribosomal RNA", at positions 40 to 350 of the family's 3401-position model. The record is from RNAcentral. Lineage: Eukaryota; Fungi.